This 465-nucleotide ribosomal RNA is filed under the name uncultured bacterium. RNAcentral describes it as "partial 16S ribosomal RNA". It matches the Rfam family "Bacterial small subunit ribosomal RNA", at positions 28 to 507 of the family's 1533-position model. The record is from RNAcentral.
GAUGAACGCUGGCGGCGUGCUUAACACAUGCAAGUCGAACGGAAAGGCUCCUGCUUGCAGGGGUACUCGAGUGGCGAACGGGUGAGUAACACGUGGGUGAUCUGCCCUGCACUUCGGGAUAAGCCUGGGAAACUGGGUCUAAUACCGGAUAGGACGAUGGUUUGGAUGCCAUUGUGGAAAGUUUUUCGGUUUGGGAUGAGCUCGCGGCCUAUCAGCUUGUUGGUGGGGUAAUGGCCUACCAAGGCGUCGACGGGUAGCCGGCCUGAGAGGGUGUACGGCCACAUUGGGACUGAGAUACGGCCCAGACUCGUACGGGAGGCAGCAGUGGGGAAUAUUGCACAAUGGGCGCAAGACUGAUGCAGAGACGCCGCGUGGGGGAUGACGGCCUUCGGGUUGUAAACUCCUUUCGCUAGGGACGAAGCGCAAGUGACGGUACCUGGAGAAGAAGCACCGGCUAACUACGUG